Molecule: ribosomal RNA, 497 nt
Filed under: uncultured bacterium
Lineage: Bacteria
Description: partial 16S ribosomal RNA
Rfam family: Bacterial small subunit ribosomal RNA
Source: RNAcentral
GAUGAACGCUGGCGGCGUGCCUAAUACAUGCAAGUCGAGCGAACGGACGAGAAGCUUGCUUCUCUGAUGUUAGCGGCGGACGGGUGAGUAACACGUGGAUAACCUACCUAUAAGACUGGGAUAACUUCGGGAAACCGUAGCUAAUACCGGAUAAUAUUUUGAACCGCAUGGUUCAAAAGUGAAAGACGGUCUUGCUGUCACUUAUAGAUGGAUCCGCGCUGCAUUAGCUAGUUGGUAAGGUAACGGCUUACCAAGGCAACGAUGCAUAGCCGACCUGAGAGGGUGAUCGGCCACACUGGAACUGAGACACGGUCCGGACUCCUACGGGAGGCAGCAGUAGGGAAUCUUCCGCAAUGGGCGAAAGCCUGACGGAGCAACGCCGCGUGAGUGAUGAAGGUCUUCGGAUCGUAAAACUCUGUUAUUAGGGAAGAACAUAUGUGUAAGUAACUGUGCACAUCUUGACGGUACCUAAUCAGAAAGCCACGGCUAACUACGUG